ACGCGAGUAAUACAAAAUGCAAGAUGCCGGUUCCUUGCCUGAAAUAGAUCCUCUCGAACAAAUUGGCGGAGUUGUUGUGGGGAUCUGGCUUUGGGCUACCUGUGAAUGCAUGGCGCGAGUACUAAGUCCAGUGGGUGGAAACGAGGCAAAAUUCAAAUUCAAAAGAGAACACGGUUGGAUCAGUCUUUGUGAGGUUUAUAGCGGGUUUCAGCUUAGUUUUUGCGAAAAUUUCUCUACAACAGCUAUAGCAACUGGCCUUUACCCAUGCUCAAGGAGAAUUCAAGUCGAAAUGAAAUGAAAUAACACCAAGCGUCUUUUGCCACAGAGGAGAGAGAAGCAAAGCCAGGAUGCAACAUGAUGAUGGGUUAUCCAGCUGGUGCUUUGAAGACCUUGGGAUCUUUAUAUCAACAACUAGAUGUAAGGCAUGAAGGGACAUGUUUUCUUCAAUUGUAGACUCUGGGAUUGUCAGUAAGCAAAGAACCAGGAGACAUAGGCUCUCCAUGGCUGGAUCACUGGAAAACCUGAGUAGUAGUAUCUAGAAUUUCAUGGCAUUUCAUACAGUCCUUCUUGCAAUACAUCUACAGUAAACACACGCAAUAAGAACCUACUUUUUUCUGAGUUACUAUAGCCUAAACAUGUUCUUAUAUGAGAGGUGCUCAGUAAUAUUUUAGGCUAUUUACUAUAGGCUCUUCCUCUUAUAGUAGAUUCUUAUUUUUAUAUGAAGUUGUGGUAGCAUUGUCAGGCAGACUUAUUGAUGUAGAUUGUUAAAAGAGCCUUCUUAUUUUUCUUUUUUUUUCCUGGCCAUCCUCAUCUCUAAAAUUAUGAACCUGCUCCAAAUGCUUGGCCUAAUAGGUUCUUAUACAAAAAUGGGGUUCUAAUUUGAACAUUUUAGGCCAACAGGUUCUUAUACACAGGUGCUCACUGCAAUUGUAAAAGUUCAAUAUGUUCUAUUUAAAAAAGAUAUUUCUUUUUGGACCCUCACCUUGUGGCAUUUAUUUAUUUAGUAGUGUUCAUUUAGUUAUUUUUUUAUCGAAUGUUUUUAGAGAAGCUCAGCGAUUUUACUAAGUGGAAGAUGUAUUGCACAGUACCUUUUAUACGAAAAUUAUAUUAGGGGGUUAUUAGGUAUUCUUUUACGUUCCAAUUGUUUAUGCGAGUUAUAAUAGUUUAAAUACUUAUUUAUUUGAGAGCGAUUACAAGUUGUUAUUUGAUAUGAACGAUUAUAAUGACAUGCUGUUUAUUCAAAGUAUAUAGGAUUUUAAGCAGGGAACGUUUACAAGAAACUAUUUAUGUGAUAUGUUGUAAAAUUACGAUACGAUGUGACAUGUUAAAUAAAUUUGAAUUUUAUUAA
This is a long non-coding RNA of Nematostella vectensis (starlet sea anemone), 1348 nucleotides long. RefSeq lists it as uncharacterized. The transcript is spliced from 2 exons. The record is from RefSeq and is a predicted model, not a curated record. NCBI's taxonomy places the organism in Eukaryota, Metazoa, Cnidaria, Anthozoa, Actiniaria, Edwardsiidae.